UUAUGUAUAUUUUUUGCUAAAGUGCAUGCUUCUUGUUUCAGACAAGAAAUGGCUGAUUUUGUAUCUCUAAGAGACAGAAUUCACAGAGCUGAACUUUGUUGCGUCACUGAGAACUGCAGCUCUGAGCAUCCCCACGGGGUACUUGGUCCUUCCUGCUUUGGUCAGCUCUCUGUAUGUACCAUGUUUCAGGAUUACACAUACCUCCGAGUUUGCCAUGGCUGAAGCUUGCAGUUCUGUUUCUGCUCCCUGUUGUUCUACUCUGCAGUUUUUCUGUAAUUCCAAUGGUAUUCUAAAUGCCUUAUUUUGAAAGGACCCAGAGCAUUAACAUUAAUAAUUUAAAAAAUCCUUUCUUCCUCACUCAGAUAUCUCUGCCACAAAAGAAUGGAGACAUUUUAGUUGUUUCUGGAAGCUGGAAGUCCAAGGUCAAGGUGCCAGCACGGUCAGCUUCUGGCAGCACCCAGAGGUCACCACUGAGCAAGGGCGUCUUGCGCCUUGUGCUCCUGGAGAAGACAAGUUGCCAGUGACCACGUCUGGGGAGGAGGACCCCCAGGUCCUGCUGGCCUUGAUCCGUGCCCGGAGAGAGCCACCCCCUCCACUGCACUUCAGGGCAGAGGUACCUCAUUGAUUAUUCACAUGAUUAAGGAAGACUUAGAAAUUUGAGAAUUGAUAACUUAUGCAGGUGACUCUCGAACAACGCAGGGACUGGGGCACCAGCACUGCGUGCAGUCGAAAGUCCGUGUACAGCUUCUAGUCGGCCCUCCGGAUGCAGGUUCCACACCCUUGGACCCAGCCGACUGCGGAUCGCGCGGUAGUGCAGUGCUCACUGCUGAAGGACAUCCUCGUGCAAGUGGACCGUGCCGUUCAAACCCGUGCUGUUCAAGAGUCAACUGUACCUCCUUCUUUGGGGUCUAGGAUGACAGAAAAAGAAAAAAAACUCUAAAGAACAAUACUUUGGUAUGGAAUUAUGUCGUGUGCACUGAGAAGAGACUGAUUCCUUCUCAGAGCUGUGGUGAGUCCAGGUCUGGAAUCAGUGGUCCAGCUUCUGACAAGCCUCAGACCACUUACUAGGGGCUCAUUUUCAUCAUGCCCAUUACUGCACAUUGUGCAGUUACUCCUGGUAAGAAUCUGAGUAUCAAUAACUGGAAAGCUUCAAAAGGAAUAUAUAUAUGCAUGUAUAGGUAUAUAUACACGUGUGUGUAUAUAUAUUCACGCCCAUAUGAACUUUCAUUUAUAUACAAGAAAAAUACAAAUGGCUCUAAUAAGAAUAAUAAAACUCUAAAUUCA
Molecule: long non-coding RNA, 1284 nt
Organism: Camelus dromedarius (Arabian camel)
Lineage: Eukaryota; Metazoa; Chordata; Mammalia; Artiodactyla; Camelidae
Exons: 4
Source: RefSeq, a predicted model, not a curated record